RNAcentral lists this ribosomal RNA (900 nucleotides) under uncultured bacterium. RNAcentral's name for it is "bacterial SSU rRNA". It matches the Rfam family "Bacterial small subunit ribosomal RNA", at positions 28 to 918 of the family's 1533-position model. The record is from RNAcentral.
GAUGAACGCUAGCUACAGGCUUAACACAUGCAAGUCGAGGGGAAACGGGAAGAUAGCUUGCUAUUUUUGCCGUCGACCGGCGCACGGGUGAGUAACGCGUAUCCAACCUGCCACCUAGUGGAGGAUAGCCUUUCGAAAGAAAGGAUAAUACUCCAUGUACUCCUUUAAGGGCAUCUGCGAAGGAGGAAAGAUUAAUCGCUGGGUGAUGGGGAUGCGUCUGAUUAGGCAGUUGGCGGGGUAACGGCCCACCAAACCGACGAUCAGUAGGGGUUCUGAGAGGAAGGUCCCCCACAUUGGAACUGAGACACGGUCCAAACUCCUACGGGAGGCAGCAGUGAGGAAUAUUGGUCAAUGGACGGAAGUCUGAACCAGCCAAGUAGCGUACAGGAUGACGGCCCUAUGGGUUGUAAACUGCUUUUAUGCGGGGGUAAAGUGAGUGACGUGUCAUUCAUUGCAAGUACCGCAAGAAUAAGGACCGGCUAAUUCCGUGCCAGCAGCCGCGGUAAUACGGAAGGUCCUGGUGUUAUCCGGAUUUAUUGGGUUUAAAGGGAGCGUAGGCCGUCAGGCAAGCGUGUUGUGAAAUGUCGUGGCUCAACCAUGGACUUGCAGCGCGAACUGCCCGACUUGAGUGCGCAGAAAGCAGGCGGAAUUUGUGGUGUAGCGGUGAAAUGCUUAGAUAUCACGAAGAACCCCGAUUGCGAAGGCAGCCUGCUGUAGCGCUACUGACGCUGAAGCUCGAAAGUGCGGGUAUCGAACAGGAUUAGAUACCCUGGUAGUCCGCACGGUAAACGAUGGAUGCCCGCUGUUCGGGUUUACGGACCGAGCGGCUAAGUGAAAACGUUAAGCAUCCCACCUGGGGAGUACGCCGGCAACGGUGAAACUCAAAGGAAUUUGACGGGG